AAGGCUGAGUAUUAGGCAAUACCGGUACUCGUUAAGGCUGAGCUGUGAUGGGGAGAAGACAUUGUGUCUUCGAGUCGUUGAUUUCACACUGCCGAGAAAAGCCUCUAGAUAGAAAUAAGGUGCCCGUACCGCAAACCGACACAGGUAGUCAAGAUGAGAAUUCUAAGGUGAGCGAGCGAACUCUCGUUAAGGA
RNAcentral lists this ribosomal RNA (193 nucleotides) under Staphylococcus aureus. RNAcentral's name for it is "partial 23S ribosomal RNA". It matches the Rfam family "Bacterial large subunit ribosomal RNA", at positions 1521 to 1711 of the family's 2925-position model. The record is from RNAcentral. Lineage: Bacteria; Bacillati; Bacillota; Bacilli; Caryophanales; Staphylococcaceae.